Macaca mulatta (Rhesus monkey) is the source of this 1200-nucleotide long non-coding RNA. RefSeq lists it as uncharacterized. NCBI's taxonomy places the organism in Eukaryota, Metazoa, Chordata, Mammalia, Primates, Cercopithecidae. The record is from RefSeq and is a predicted model, not a curated record.
GAGGACAGGACAGGACAGCACAAAACAGCCGACAACCCACACACCCGCCCUCCCUGACAUGGCAUCCUCCUGGGAGCCACCAGGCUGUCCCUCAGGGUCUGUCAGAGCCCCACAACACCUCCCCUGCCCCCUCAGGGCUCUCAAAUGAAAGAAACCCACCACAGGUCACUAAGCUCCUCCCUGCCGCGGAAUCCAGUGGGCAUUUUCCUCUCUACGCUUCUGUGCAUUUGACAGCGUGAACUACUCCCACCUGGAAGCCCUGGCCUCCUUGGACAUCUGGGACACCGUGUACCUGCCUGGCUACUUCUUUUCUAUUGUCUUUGUGAAUUUCUUUGCCUUCACUGGUCCCCAAAUGUUGGUCCCCAGAGCAUGAUUCAAAAGAUCUUCUUCUAGUUUUUAUCCCCCCUCAUCUCGCUCCUUCCUAGAGUUUUAGGAACCACUUUGCUGACUCCCGAAUCUUCACCUCUAGCUUUGGGUCCCUCUCCUCAAAAUCAGAGCUUCAAAAUCAACAAUGUGGUGAUAUCAUCUUCAUCGAGCUGCCCAUGCGUAGCUCUGACUUGACCUGCCUGGAAUGGAAUAAGCUCCCCAACUGACCUACUUGCUCGUCUCCUAGGCUCCCUGUCACCCAGGCAUCAGAGGCAGCACGGACGGCUGCUCCCCGGCCCCAAACAUCCAAUUACCUCGACCUCGAAGUUCUUCAUAUCUCCAGUGCCACUGUCAUUUUCCGAGGCAACAGGCUCCUGAGGUCUCCAGUCCUCCACGAUCCAGCCAAUGAUCUCUCUGAAAUGCACAUCUGAUCAUUUCACUCCCCUCAAAAACCCUCAGUGGCUCCCAGCUGCCCAGGCUCUGUCCUCCCAGGCAGCCUGACCUUAGGGGAGGCCCACCUCUCAGCCUCCUCCUCUGCAUCCUGCUAUAGCCUUGACCUGGAGCUGAGGUCCUCUGACUUGUAGCAAUCGGGCUGCCUCAAAGCCCUGAGCCAAAAAAAGAGCCCCAUGCAUGCAUGCCAUGAACAUGUUAACACAUACAUGGGUGCAACCAUUCACCUUUGUCACGAUGCAGGAUAAGGCUCCCUGUGCACGAUCAACUGACUAGAAUUCCGCAUUGUCUCUUGUACAAUCCACACCCAUAUGCGUCCACUGUGAUUUUCAGUUCUGGCUUCUUUAAUACUGAGCGAUAAAACCAGAGACACUGGUGAACCAA